UUUGUAGGUUCUGGAAAUAUCCCCAGCUGUGGAGAAGAGGGAAGGACUGCUGCAAUAAAAGAGAAUGUUGAAGAUGGAGUGACUCCAGACUCAGAUGUCUCCAUGUCAGAGAGCAGAGCUGAGACACCAGGAGUUGCCAUGUCGGUGGAGAGAUGCAGAGCUGAGACACCANGGUGGAGAGAUGCAGAGCUGAGAUACCAGGACAUUCUGCCUCAGUGGAAAGGAACAGAAAUGAGGCUCCAGAGACGUCUCCCAACAAAGUUCAUGGAGGGAGAAGAGGAGCCCUAAAAACUGUCUUGUCGAAGCUGAGGCUCAGGAAGUUCAGAAUUGGGAAACUGAGGCUAAGGGAUCUCCUGGAAAUCAGCCCGGAGAGCCUGAAGGACUGGACUCCUUAUGUCUUGGGAGAUUUGCCUU
Molecule: long non-coding RNA, 414 nt
Filed under: Gopherus agassizii (Agassiz's desert tortoise)
Lineage: Eukaryota; Metazoa; Chordata; Testudines; Testudinidae
Description: lncRNA (ENSGAGG00000018920.1)
Source: RNAcentral